ACUGAACGCUGGUGGCAGGCCUAACACAUGCAAGUCGAGCGGCAGCGGGAAAGUAGCUUGCUACUUUUGCCGGCGAGCGGCGGACGGGUGAGUAAUGCCUGGGAAAUUGCCCAGUCGAGGGGGAUAACAGUUGGAAACGACUGCUAAUACCGCAUACGCCCUACGGGGGAAAGCAGGGGACCCUCGGGCCUUGCGCGAUUGGAUAUGCCCAGGUGGGAUUAGCUAGUUGGUGAGGUAAUGGCUCACCAAGGCGACGAUCCCUAGCUGGUCUGAGAGGAUGAGCAGCCACACUGGAACUGAGACACGGUCCAGACUCCUACGGGAGGCAGCAGUGGGGAAUAUUGCACAAUGGGGGAAACCCUGAUGCAGCCAUGCCGCGUGUGUGAAGAAGGCCUUCGGGUUGUAAAGCACUUUCAGCGAGGAGGAAAGGUUGAUGCCUAAUACGUAUCAACUGUGACGUUACUCGCAGAAGAAGCACCGGCUAACUCCGUGCCAGCCGCCGCAGUAA
This 508-nucleotide ribosomal RNA is filed under the name uncultured bacterium. RNAcentral describes it as "partial 16S ribosomal RNA". It matches the Rfam family "Bacterial small subunit ribosomal RNA", at positions 30 to 523 of the family's 1533-position model. The record is from RNAcentral.